UACGAAGGGGGCUAGCGUUGCUCGGAAUUACUGGGCGUAAAGCGCACGUAGGCGGCUUAUUAAGUCAGGGGUGAAAUCCUGGAGCUCAACUCCAGAACUGCCUUUGAUACUGGUGAGCUUGAGUCUGGGAGAGGUGAGUGGAACUGCGAGUGUAGAGGUGAAAUUCGUAGAUAUUCGCAAGGACACCAGUGGCGAAGGCGGCUCACUGGCCCGGUACUGACGCUGAGGUGCGAAAGCGUGGGGAGCAAACAGG
RNAcentral lists this ribosomal RNA (253 nucleotides) under uncultured bacterium. RNAcentral's name for it is "partial 16S ribosomal RNA". It matches the Rfam family "Bacterial small subunit ribosomal RNA", at positions 524 to 776 of the family's 1533-position model. The record is from RNAcentral.